This 232-nucleotide long non-coding RNA is filed under the name Musa acuminata (dwarf banana). Its description in RNAcentral is "long non-coding RNA (MACU_LNC008609)". Lineage: Eukaryota; Viridiplantae; Streptophyta; Magnoliopsida; Zingiberales; Musaceae. The record is from RNAcentral.
GCGGGCGUUCUUUUUUUUUUUUUUUUAAGAUAGCUACGGUAAUACUAUAGCGAGAACGCCAAGGAUUGCGACUCUGAUACCAAUUGAUAAGACCCUAAAGUCUUAUCGUCACUCUGGUACCAAUUGAUAAGACCCUAAAGUCUUAUCAUCGCUCUGAUACCAAAUGAUAAGACACUAAAGUCUUAUCGUGGAAGAAAGGGGAGAAAAGGGAAUGAUAAUGAUCACUUCGAGG